CCAAGGAGUCUAACAUGUACGCGAGUCAUUGGGAAAGUAAACCCAAAGGCAUAAUGAAAGUGAAGAUUCAUAUUGUGAAUUUGAGGAGAGAUCAUGGUUCUGCUUGGGAUUCCGCAAGGUUUUCUGAGUAGAAUAUGCGCAUCUCCUGGACAUCUGAACUCUUGAGAGUUGGGUGUACCUAGAGCGUACACGUUGGGACCCGAAAGAUGGUGAACUAUGCCUGGUCAGGACGAAGUCAGGGGAAACCCUGAUGGAGGUUCGUAGAGAUUCUGACGUGCAAAUCGAUCUUCGGAACUGGGUAUAGGGGCGAAAGACUAAUCGAACCAUCUA
This 330-nucleotide ribosomal RNA is filed under the name Onychiurus ambulans. RNAcentral describes it as "eukaryotic LSU rRNA". It matches the Rfam family "Eukaryotic large subunit ribosomal RNA", at positions 666 to 946 of the family's 3401-position model. The record is from RNAcentral. Lineage: Eukaryota; Metazoa; Arthropoda; Collembola; Poduromorpha; Onychiuridae.